This 1371-nucleotide ribosomal RNA is filed under the name uncultured bacterium. RNAcentral describes it as "bacterial SSU rRNA". It matches the Rfam family "Bacterial small subunit ribosomal RNA", at positions 28 to 1381 of the family's 1533-position model. The record is from RNAcentral.
GAUGAACGCUGGCGGCGUGCCUAAUACAUGCAAGUCGAGCGAACGGACGAGAAGCUUGCUUCUCUGAUGUUAGCGGCGGACGGGUGAGUAACACGUGGAUAACCUACCUAUAAGACUGGGAUAACUUCGGGAAACCGGAGCUAAUACCGGAUAAUAUUUUGAACCGCAUGGUUCAAAAGUGAAAGACGGUCUUGCUGUCACUUAUAGAUGGAUCCGCGCUGCAUUAGCUAGUUGGUAAGGUAACGGCUUACCAAGGCAACGAUGCAUAGCCGACCUGAGAGGGUGAUCGGCCACACUGGAACUGAGACACGGUCCAGACUCCUACGGGAGGCAGCAGUAGGGAAUCUUCCGCAAUGGGCGAAAGCCUGACGGAGCAACGCCGCGUGAGUGAUGAAGGUCUUCGGAUCGUAAAACUCUGUUAUUAGGGAAGAACAUAUGUGUAAGUAACUGUGCACAUCUUGACGGUACCUAAUCAGAAAGCCACGGCUAACUACGUGCCAGCAGCCGCGGUAAUACGUAGGUGGCAAGCGUUAUCCGGAAUUAUUGGGCGUNAAGCGCGCGUAGGCGGUUUUUUAGUCUGAUGUGAAAGCCCACGGCUCAACCGUGGAGGGUCAUUGGAAACUGGAAAACUUGAGUGCAGAAGAGGAAAGUGGAAUUCCAUGUGUAGCGGUGAAAUGCGCAGAGAUAUGGAGGAACACCAGUGGCGAAGGCGACUUUCUGGUCUGUAACUGACGCUGAUGUGCGAAAGCGUGGGGAUCAAACAGGAUUAGAUACCCUGGUAGUCCACACCGUAAACGAUGAGUGCUAAGUGUUAGGGGGUUUCCGCCCCUUAGUGCUGCAGCUAACGCAUUAAGCACUCCGCCUGGGGAGUACGACCGCAAGGUUGAAACUCAAAGGAAUUGACGGGGACCCGCACAAGCGGUGGAGCAUGUGGUUUAAUUCGAAGCAACGCGAAGAACCUUACCAAAUCUUGACAUCCUUUGACAACUCUAGAGAUAGAGCCUUCCCCUUCGGGGGACAAAGUGACAGGUGGUGCAUGGUUGUCGUCAGCUCGUGUCGUGAGAUGUUGGGUUAAGUCCCGCAACGAGCGCAACCCUUAAGCUUAGUUGCCAUCAUUAAGUUGGGCACUCUAAGUUGACUGCCGGUGACAAACCGGAGGAAGGUGGGGAUGACGUCAAAUCAUCAUGCCCCUUAUGAUUUGGGCUACACACGUGCUACAAUGGACAAUACAAAGGGCAGCGAAACCGCGAGGUCAAGCAAAUCCCAUAAAGUUGUUCUCAGUUCGGAUUGUAGUCUGCAACUCGACUACAUGAAGCUGGAAUCGCUAGUAAUCGUAGAUCAGCAUGCUACGGUGAAUACGUUCCCGGGUCU